CUCAGAGCGAACGCUGGCGGCAGGCCUAACACAUGCAAGUCGAACGGACCCUUCGGGGUUAGUGGCGGACGGGUGAGUAACACGUGGGAACGUGCCUUUAGGUUCGGAAUAGCUCCUGGAAACGGGUGGUAAUGCCGAAUGUGCCCUUCGGGGGAAAGAUUUAUCGCCUUUAGAGCGGCCCGCGUCUGAUUAGCUAGUUGGUGAGGUAAUGGCUCACCAAGGCGACGAUCAGUAGCUGGUCUGAGAGGAUGACCAGCCACAUUGGGACUGAGACACGGCCCAAACUCCUACGGGAGGCAGCAGUGGGGAAUCUUGCGCAAUGGGCGAAAGCCUGACGCAGCCAUGCCGCGUGAAUGAUGAAGGUCUUAGGAUUGUAAAAUUCUUCACCGGGGACGAUAAGACGGA
This 405-nucleotide ribosomal RNA is filed under the name Brevundimonas sp. VA2-53. Its description in RNAcentral is "bacterial SSU rRNA". It matches the Rfam family "Bacterial small subunit ribosomal RNA", at positions 23 to 457 of the family's 1533-position model. The record is from RNAcentral. Lineage: Bacteria; Pseudomonadati; Pseudomonadota; Alphaproteobacteria; Caulobacterales; Caulobacteraceae.